CAAUUGCGGCGUGCCUAUACAUGCAGUCGAGCGGACAGAUGGGAGCUUGCUCCCUGAUGUUAGCGGCGGACGGGUGAGUAACACGUGGGUAACCUGCCUGUAAGACUGGGAUAACUCCGGGAAACCGGGGCUAAUACCGGAUGGUUGUUUGAACCGCAUGGUUCAGACAUAAAAGGUGGCUUCGGCUACCACUUACAGAUGGACCCGCGGCGCAUUAGCUAGUUGGUGAGGUAACGGCUCACCAAGGCGACGAUGCGUAGCCGACCUGAGAGGGUGAUCGGCCACACUGGGACUGAGACACGGCCCAGACUCCUACGGGAGGCAGCAGUAGGGAAUCUUCCGCAAUGGACGAAAGUCUGACGGAGCAACGCCGCGUGAGUGAUGAAGGUUUUCGGAUCGUAAAGCUCUGUUGUUAGGGAAGAACAAGUGCCGUUCAAAUAGGGCGGCACCUUGACGGUACCUAACCAGAAAGCCACGGCUAACUACGUGCCAGCAGCCGCGGUAAUACGUAGGUGGCAAGCGUUGUCCGGAAUUAUUGGGCGUAAAGGGCUCGCAGGCGGUUUCUUAAGUCUGAUGUGAAAGCCCCCGGCUCAACCGGGGAGGGUCAUUGGAAACUGGGGAACUUGAGUGCAGAAGAGGAGAGUGGAAUUCCACGUGUAGCGGUGAAAUGCGUAGAGAUGUGGAGGAACACCAGUGGCGAAGGCGACUCUCUGGUCUGUAACUGACGCUGAGGAGCGAAAGCGUGGGGAGCGAACAGGAUUAGAUACCCUGGUAGUCCACGCCGUAAACGAUGAGUGCUAAGUGUUAGGGGGUUUCCGCCCCUUAGUGCUGCAGCUAACGCAUUAAGCACUCCGCCUGGGGGAGUACGGUCGCAAGACUGAAACUCAAAGGAAUUGACGGGGGCCCGCACAAGCGGUGGAGCAUGUGGUUUAAUUCGAAGCAACGCGAAGAACCUUACCAGGUCUUGACAUCCUCUGACAAUCCUAGAGAUAGGACGUCCCCUUCGGGGGCAGAGUGACAGGUGGUGCAUGGUUGUCGUC
Molecule: ribosomal RNA, 1040 nt
Filed under: Bacillus subtilis
Lineage: Bacteria; Bacillati; Bacillota; Bacilli; Caryophanales; Bacillaceae
Description: bacterial SSU rRNA
Rfam family: Bacterial small subunit ribosomal RNA
Source: RNAcentral